AUUGAACGCUGGCGGCAGGCUUAACACAUGCAAGUCGAGCGGGGUGAUGGUGCUUGCACUAUCACUUAGCGGCGGACGGGUGAGUAAUGCUUAGGAAUCUGCCUAUUAGUGGGGGACAACAUCUCGAAAGGGAUGCUAAUACCGCAUACGUCCUACGGGAGAAAGCAGGGGAUCACUUGUGACCUUGCGCUAAUAGAUGAGCCUAAGUCGGAUUAGCUAGUUGGUGGGGUAGAGGACUACCAAGGCGACGAUCUGUAGCGGGUCUGAGAGGGUGAGCCGCCACACUGGGACUGAGACACGGCCCAGAAUCCUACGGGAGGUAGCAGUGGGGAAUAUUGGACAAUGGGGGGAACCCUGAUCCAGCCAUGCCGCGUGUGUGAAGAAGGCCUUAUGGUUGUAAAGCACUUUAAGCGAGGAGGAGGCUCUUUUGGUUAAUACCCAAGAUGAGUGGACGUUACUCGCAGAAUAAGCACCGGCUAACUCUGUGCCAGCAGCCGCGGUAA
This 503-nucleotide ribosomal RNA is filed under the name uncultured bacterium. RNAcentral describes it as "partial 16S ribosomal RNA". It matches the Rfam family "Bacterial small subunit ribosomal RNA", at positions 30 to 523 of the family's 1533-position model. The record is from RNAcentral.